Non-coding RNA from Podarcis lilfordi (Lilford's wall lizard), 4773 nucleotides. The record is from the annotation of a GenBank genome assembly. Lineage: Eukaryota; Metazoa; Chordata; Lepidosauria; Squamata; Lacertidae.
CAGGGCCGGAUGGUGAGGUCUGGAGGGCCGCAUCAUGCUUCUCCCCGGGUUUCUCAUCUCUGGAGGGGAGAAACCCAAGGAGCAUCUCUUUCCCCCAGAAAUAACUCCGAACGCCUUUCAGAGUCUCUUGCGGAGGAGUGGGAGACAGGAGGGAGGAAGGUAGGAAGGGAUGAGGGUUUUUCUUUUUUUUCACUAGGCAUCAGGCAGGCAGACAAAUCCAAGGCUGUUUUUCAGUGGCCUGGAGUUGUCGCUUUUCCUCCAGGCUGUUUACCCUCCAGAUUUAGACUGUUUGCUCACUCAAGAUCUCGUAGCCAGCUGGGUAACUCUUGCGACUCUACCGUGUGUGUGUGUGUGAGUGUGUUGGCUUCCAGCGUGUCUGUUUGCUUUGGAAAUGGCCGCAGCUCUUAUAAAAUCACAUUAAGCAAAUCCCUUACAGUUUAAUUAUAGGAAUCACUUUACCCAAAUCAAUGGCAAAUAACUUUUUUUUAUAACACACACACACACACACACACACACACACACACACAGAUGGGUGGAAGCGGGGUCCAUUCACGACUGGUUUGGUAGCGACGGUGUUGUAUGAAAAUGCCCACUUGUCAGUCGUUGAGUAGGAACGAUGGUCUUUUGAAAGGGUGCGUAUAGGCAGGAGAAGGGUCAAGAAAAUCGCCAAGGCCAUAAAUCAAGGCCGAGGAGGCCCUUUGCUAGACUCCAGCUUCCGCCAUUCCUGUCACCUCUCCAAGUGAUGUGUAUUUGAAGAGGCCUGGAGGAGAGCUGCCAUGGGAAGCCUGAGACAAGAGAGACAGAUCGAAGAGACACCCACCCCAAGAAUCUACAGUUCCCUGGACCCUUAACAAACUACAAUUCCCAGGAUCAUUGAGGUGGGAUUGGACGUGCUUUAAAUGCACAGUGCGGGAUAACAGCCUACAUAGACCUGGGAAAAGUUACUGUUCAACCCGAGCUAUAGGGCGUCUGCUGCCUUCGUCGUCUUUGCGAGAUGUGCCUCGUUUAAUCCAAUCGAUUCAAAGCACAGCAUCUCUGGCUACUUCACUCCCAAGGACUGGAGCUUCAGUCCUGUCGAUCGUUUCAAUGCACCCCACCUUCGGACACAUCUGCUUGGAGAUAAGCCCCACCGAUUUAUGGUUUUAGCAUGCCAGUCCCAAAUCAAUUUCAGAUUAAACCUGUAACCUUACUGGAGCAGUAAACCCCAGUUGAUAAAAGAGGACUUCCUCCCACGUAAAACGUUGUAUUGAAUCGUGCACCGAUUCAGAAUAGCGUGGUGCUUUGGUCACGCCGUAGAAGUAGGCUGCAAUCCUGCACACACUUUCUUGGAAAGUAAACCCCGUUGAACUCGGUGGGGCUGAAUUUUCGGCGAGAAGGAGCACGAUCUGGGAGUUUCAUUAGGAGCUGCUCCGGAUUAAGUGUAGUCAUUUGCAAUAAAUUACUUGGAUAGGGAUUCCUGUGUAAGGAUUAGAAGUUUGAUUUGGUUUUUAGAUUGAAUGAAAGCGGGGAGCCCAUCAAGCGAUGAUGUUGAGAUGCUUGAUUUGACACGUGUAAGCCACCCUUCCCUGUCCCAGUCUCUCUCCAUCCUCCCCACCCGAUUUCUGGACUCUCUCCUUCGCUGGUUUAUAUUUGGCACAUCCGGAGCGGAGAGCCCAGGGAGCGUUCAGCAAGAAAGCCGGAGCCGGUUUGGUCCGUGCACAAUCUGCUCAUUGUUUAGGGCUCGGGGAUCCGGGACCAGGGAGGUGGGGGGUGGGGGCGGUCGGCUGGCUGGCUGAAGUGGUCACGGCAGGAGCCUGUGGCGGCGGCACUCGGGUUGGAAAAAGCCUUCAGCUCAACCCCAACCUCAACCUCGUGUUCUGCUGAGCUUGGAGUUUCUUGCAGCAGCCGCCUCUCCUUGCUACAAAUAAGGAUGCCGCGCGGGGCAGGAAGGAACCUAUGUGCCAUCCCAGCGGCAUGACACGUAGGAAGAAUGGGAGUCAUUCUUUUCCUUGGUCUUUUUUUGGAGAACUUCUGAUUUCCAGCAUCACCAAAGGCAGCUGAAGUCUUUACUAGGAGUGCCAUCUUGUGGCUCAGAGGCGCGCUGCUCCGCGAAGGAGUCUGGAGAAGGGGCCGGAAGUUGGGGACUCAAUCCGGGCGCAGGUUUAAAGUAGCCCACGGAGACCCUCGCAGCCCUGCUCUGCGUGCAAGUGUUGCAGGUCGGAUCCGCAGGACCCGGUGACGGCCUGGUCAGGUUAAACAGAACCUCGCGCAAUUGCAUGGACCAGCAGAGCCAUAGGAAAGGCCGCUUCAGCUUAUCCUUCUUCCCCAGAAAGGCAGGACGCAAACCAUCAACUCCCAAGAACAACAACAAUAUAUGGGACACCAGAGAAGAUGCUGUAACGUGGAGUGAGGUUUCAGCCGCUCCAUUAUGCCCCCUCUCUGUGCAGCUGCCUCCCCCCAGCUCUCACCCACCCGCACCAGCCAGUCAGCUUUCUGUAGUCUCUGAGCCUGCUCAUUCUUCAGGAAGCUGCUCCUGGUUUCAAGUCCCCCAUCCUGGCAACACACACACACCUACAAACCAUGGGCAUUUCCAAGGCUGCUGCUGUCUGCCCGCAGUUGUGGGUGAGUGGUGCUAUUUUGGCUACAGAAGCAACAUCAGGGGUGCCAGCAGGGCCGGAUUUAGGUCUGAUGAGCCCCUAACUUGCUACUGAAGGUAAUGGGGCCCUUUAUAUUUCCAGCUGUCCUUUGUCAACAACAAAUUGUUGCUUUUUUGUGUUGAAUAUGUGCUAUAUGGUAAUUGAUGGACCUAAUAGGUAUCUAAAGCCAUUUGCACAUAACAAAAUAUGUAUUUUAUCAAAGUAAUUGUUGAACUGAAAUACAAUUAAGAAAAAGUAUAUUAAUAGUGAAAUACAAUAAAGAAGUAUAUUAACAGUGAAAUAAUUAUUCGCUGUGGGUAAAACCUCAGUGCCUAGGACUUGCCGAUCGUAUGGUUGGCGGUUCGAAUCCCCGCGGCGGGGUGAGCUCCCGUCUUUCGGUCCCAGCUCCUGCCCACCUAGCAGUUCGAAAGCACCCCUAAGUGCAAGUAGAUAAAUAGGUACCGCUUUAUAGCAGGAAGGUAAACGGCGUUUCCAUGUGCUGCGCUGGUGCUGGCUCGCCAGAGCAGCUUCGUCACACUGGCCACAUGACCCAGAAGUGUCUCCGGACAGCGCUGGCCCCCGGCCUCUUAAGUGAGAUGGGCGCACAACCCUAGAGUCGGACACGACUGGCCCGUACGGGCAGGGGUACCUUUACCUUUACCUUUAACUGUAUGUAGGUUUAUUUUAUUUGUUUUUUAUCUUAUAUUUUGGAAAUGUACAUCCAGUUUUUUCCCCCCUUCAGAUUUUUUUGGGACCCCCAAGAAAGUGGGGCCUUAAGCUAUAGCUUGUUUAGCUUAUAUGUAAAUCCAGCACUGGGUGCCCGCUUGAAUAAAAUAUUGGGGGGGGGCGGGGGUAGGUAAGCUCCACCCCACAUUACCACAUGACAUGGCACACUCACCCCAUUUGUCUGGCAAUGCCCAUCAACUUCGGGAGGCCCCGGGCCCCUCAAAUAUUUUAUUAGGGGGAGGCCAAAGUGACCUCGGCCCCUCAGAGUUGGCUCCUAUGGCAACGGCACUCACUGGGACGGCUGGACAUGGCACUUUCCCGGCACCCAUCCUUUUGGCAGACCAACUCUGCAUGUCAAAGAUGUCUGUAACCGUGACAUGAAGACUGGCAAUAUCAACCCUGUAAUGUGGGAAUCCCUUGCAGAUGACCACAGAGCUUGGAGACAGGAUCCAUAUCAGCGACCAGAGGAGGAAUGACUGCUGGGAGGAGGGCAGAGAGAAGAAACUGCUGCCACAAAACAUGUCUCUUCCAUAUUGGUCUCAACAGCCACAGCAGGCACUGUAACCUUCCAACAGUUUGACUUCACCCCCAAAGGCACACUCCUCCAUUGUCUCCGGAGCACACAGAUGCCAAGAGACCAAGUUACAUACUGGCCAAAAGUGGGCAGGUCCCUGCCUCCAAGGAGCUUACCAUUUAAACUAGACAAUGGGAGAGGGAAAUGAGGCAAGGCAGGGAGGGGAUACUGAGAAAGUUACAUAUGUACAGUUAAAGCACACUGUUGCCCUUCUGAAACAAAACUGCCUUUUUGUGGCAGGAAAUGCAUUGAAAAGUGUAGAAUGAAUGGAUGAUGAAUGCAAAGAUGUAUAAGCACCCUGCCAGCAAAAUCAGGGUGUGAAUGCUCACCUAACCUCUCCACAAAUGAACUGAAACACAUUCUCAAUAAUGACCAGACCUAGAGGGCCUUCUCGGUGGUGGCGCCUGCCCUGUGGAACACCCUCCCAUCAGAUGUCAAGGAAAUAAACAACUAUCUAACUUUUAUAAAACAUCAGAAGGCAGCCCUGUUUAGGGAAGUUUUUAAUGUUUGAUGUUUUAUCACUUUGAUGAUGAUGAUGAUGAUGAUGGGAGCUACCCAGAGUGGCUGGGGAAACCCAGCCAGAUGGGUGGAAUAUAAAUAAAUUAUUAUUAUUAUUAUUAUUAUUAAUUUCUUACAUUGGUUUGAGACACCCAAAUUAGGCAAUUUCUUGUUAAAAUGCAAGCAGAAAUGAAUCUCUCUCCCGUCCCCAGGAGCCAGUGAAUGUAUAAACCAAAGGGAAGGGAAGAGAGGAGAGCCUGGUCACUGAGCAACAGGCUUCAGAUGAGAGCUGGAGAUACUGAGGCAAAGCAGGUGCUGGAGUGGAGACAAGCAUAAAAACAGUAAAAGGCAAAUGACCCG